AACGCGAAGAACCUUACCAAGGUUUGACAUGGCCGGAAAAGCAUCAGAGAUGGUGUGUCCUUCGGGGUCGGUCACAGGUGGUGCAUGGCUGUCGUCAGCUCGUGUCGUGAGAUGUUGGGUUAAGUCCCGCAACGAGCGCAACCCUCGUCCUAUGUUGCCAGCGGGUCAUGCCGGGGACUCAUGGGAGACUGCCGGGGUCAACUCGGAGGAAGGUGGGGAUGACGUCAAGUCAUCAUGCCCCUUAUGUCUUGGGCUGCAAACAUGCUACAAUGGCCGGUACAGAGGGCUGCGAACUCGCGAGGGUAAGCGAAUCCCGGAAAGCCGGUCUCAGUUCGGAUCGGGGUCUGCAACUCGGCCCCGUGAAGCUGGAGUCGCUAGUAAUCGCGGAUCAGCAACGCCGCGGUGAAUACGUUCCCGGGCCUUGUA
This 426-nucleotide ribosomal RNA is filed under the name uncultured Actinomycetes bacterium. Its description in RNAcentral is "bacterial SSU rRNA". It matches the Rfam family "Bacterial small subunit ribosomal RNA", at positions 958 to 1385 of the family's 1533-position model. The record is from RNAcentral. Lineage: Bacteria; Bacillati; Actinomycetota; Actinomycetes.